Homo sapiens (human) is the source of this 929-nucleotide long non-coding RNA. RefSeq lists it as uncharacterized. The transcript is spliced from 2 exons. NCBI's taxonomy places the organism in Eukaryota, Metazoa, Chordata, Mammalia, Primates, Hominidae. The record is from RefSeq and is a predicted model, not a curated record.
ACAGUUUCUAAAGCAGCCCCACAAACACUCACCUGAUUUCGGCGUCAGACCUAUGAGGCAGGUAGGGAGGGGUUCUUCCUAACAUCCUCAUCUUACAAAUGGAAACGGAGGCACAGGGAGGGGGGUCCCAUCCCUCCCCAUUGUCUUGAUGGGCAUCUGUAUGUUGACGGCCCUCUAAGGACGUUGUCACCCUUCUGAGCUCCCAAUUCACGUACCUGAGGUCGGCCUGAUGUUUCCACUUGCUUAUCUAAUGGACACACCCAACCCGAAAGGAACUCUUCACUUGUAACCUUAAACUGGUUAUUCUCCAGGAUGAUGGAUUCACACCUGCCUCGGCCAUGCACCCCAUCACAAAACCAGAAGCCUAGGAGUGCUCCUGUCAUCUUGAUUUUUCUCUCACAUCAGUGAUUCCAAAAUAAGGACUUAACCUGUGUGCUUCUCUUCUUCUCGCUGUCCCCACCCACCAGAGUCUCCCACCUGGACUGUUACCAUUGCCUCCUAACUGACCUUCCUACUUGCAUGCCUGUCAUCAUCUGCCCAUUUUCAACAUGCCUUCCAGAAGACAAAAUCUAUACUUAUCAGCUGAAGUUUGCAUAAAAUGCUCCAGUGCCUUCCACUUGCACCCAGGAUUCAAUCCAAAGCCCCUCCCAGGGCUGCCCAGGCUGUUUCCCCAACCUCCUUAGGGCCAUCUCCUCCUGGCUCCUACCCUCCUUGGCCCACUGCUGCCCCCGGAUCACACCCAGCUCCUCCCAGGACCUCAGCCCUGGCUGCUCCAGACCUUCCACUUGGUCCCUUGCCUUCUGUCAGUUCCCAAAGGUCAUCUUCCCAGAGAGACCCUCCCUGACCCUGGGUAAACUGCGUCUCCCUAUGCUGCUCCAGCCAGCACCCUGUUGACUCCCCUCACAAUGCUAACAAGCAUCUGCAUUCCA